This 397-nucleotide ribosomal RNA is filed under the name uncultured bacterium. Its description in RNAcentral is "bacterial SSU rRNA". It matches the Rfam family "Bacterial small subunit ribosomal RNA", at positions 29 to 431 of the family's 1533-position model. The record is from RNAcentral.
AUUGAACGCUGGCGGCAUGCCUUACACAUGCAAGUCGAACGGUAACGCGGGGCAACCUGGCGACGAGUGGCGAACGGGUGAGUAACACAUCGGAACGUGCCCAGUAGUGGGGGAUAGCCCGGCGAAAGCCGGAUUAAUACCGCAUACGACCUAAGGGUGAAAGCAGGGGAUCGCAAGACCUUGCGCUAUUGGAGCGGCCGAUGUCAGAUUAGGUAGUUGGUGGGGUAAAAAGCCUACCAAGCCGACGAUCUGUAGCUGGUCUGAGAGGACGACCAGCCACACUGGGACUGAGACACGGCCCAGACUCCUACGGGAGGCAGCAGUGGGGAAUUUUGGACAAUGGGCGCAAGCCUGAUCCAGCCAUGCCGCGUGCGGGAAGAAGGCCUCGGUGUAACGC